CUCAAGAGUCCUUUGCUGUUCGCUGUGACAAACUAAGCCAGAAAGCCCUCAAAUAUAUAGAAGAAGGUGCAGAAUCAACGCAUAUUUAUAAUGUGGCAAUGAAUGCUCUCCAUGAGGCCACAAGGAAGGUUGCUGCUGCAAAGAAACAAGGUCUUGUGCCUAUACAGAAUACUUUGGUUAAUGGCAGUCAGCAGCUGCAGCCGUGCUGUCUGGAUCAGGACAAGAAAAUUCAGGAAUUGACUGAUGAAUUGAAGCAUGCAAG
RNAcentral lists this unclassified non-coding RNA (262 nucleotides) under Hevea brasiliensis (rubber tree). Lineage: Eukaryota; Viridiplantae; Streptophyta; Magnoliopsida; Malpighiales; Euphorbiaceae. The record is from RNAcentral.